Molecule: unclassified non-coding RNA, 293 nt
Organism: Cricetulus griseus (Chinese hamster)
Lineage: Eukaryota; Metazoa; Chordata; Mammalia; Rodentia; Cricetidae
Gene: 7SK
Rfam family: 7SK RNA
About the family: 7SK was discovered as an abundant small nuclear RNA in the mid-70s but a possible function has only recently been suggested. Two independent studies have found that 7SK RNA binds the CDK9/cyclin T complex (known as elongation factor P-TEFb). P-TEFb activates transcription by phosphorylating the C-terminal domain of RNA polymerase II.
Source: Ensembl
GUGCUGGGAUCUGGCUGAGACAUCUGUCACCCUACUGAUCGCCAGGGUUGGCCAUGGUUGAUUCUGCUGAUCUGGCUGGCUAGGCGGGUGUCCCCUUCCUCCAUCCAUGUGCGUCCCUUCCGAAGCUGCAGCUGCGUGCUUGGUGGAAGAGGACGACCUUCCCCAAAUAGAGGAGGACCAGUCUUUGGUCAAGGGUAGCUGUGCUCCCUUGCUAGAACCUCCAAACAAGCUCUCAAGGUUCAAGUGCUGGGAUCGAAAAUAUGAGUCACAAUGCCUGUCAGAGGAGUCUUUUU